AAGUCGUAUAAGGUCUCCGUUGGUGAACCAGCGGAGGGAUCAUUAGCGAGUCUAACUCUCUAAAACCAUUGUGAACGAACUGCCACGUUGCUUUGGCGGGGUCAAACCCGCCGGCAGAACGCAAACUAUGUUAUAUUUGUUUCUCUGAGUAUACUUUUAAUAAGUAAAAACUUUCAACAACGGAUCUCUUGGUUCUGGCAUCGAUGAAGAACGCAGCGAAAUGCGAUAAGUAAUGUGAAUUGCAGAAUUCAGUGAAUCAUCGAAUCUUUGAACGCACAUUGCGCCCGCCAGUAUUCUGGCGGGCAUGCCUGUUCGAGCGUCAUUUCAACCAUCAAGCCCUGUGUUGUGUUGGGGGCCUGCGGCUGCCGCAGCCCCCUAAAAGCAGUGGCGGGCUCGCUGUCAUUCCGAGCGCAGUAACUUAUCUCGCUUUGGUCGUGGCGGUGGGCACCUGCCGUAAAACACUCUUUUUCACAAGGUUGACCUCGGAUCAGGUAGGAAUACCCGCUGAACUUAA
This 514-nucleotide ribosomal RNA is filed under the name uncultured Sordariales. Its description in RNAcentral is "eukaryotic LSU rRNA". The stretch from base 169 to 322 matches the Rfam family "5.8S ribosomal RNA". The record is from RNAcentral. Lineage: Eukaryota; Fungi; Ascomycota; Sordariomycetes; Sordariales.